This 537-nucleotide ribosomal RNA is filed under the name uncultured archaeon. RNAcentral's name for it is "bacterial SSU rRNA". It matches the Rfam family "Archaeal small subunit ribosomal RNA", at positions 326 to 865 of the family's 1478-position model. The record is from RNAcentral.
CGGGGUGCAGCAGGCGCGAAACCUCUGCAAUAGGCGAAAGCCUGACAGGGUUACUCUGAGUGAUUCCCGCUAAGGGGAUCUUUUGGCACCUCUAAAAAUGGUGCAGAAUAAGGGGUGGGCAAGCCUGGUGUCAGCCGCCGCGGUAAUACCAGCACCCCGAGUGGUCGGGACGAUUAUUGGGCCUAAAGCAUCCGUAGCCGGCCACGCAAGUCCUCCGUUAAAUCCACCCGCUCAACGGUUGGGCUGCGGAGGAUACUACGUGGCUAGGAGGCGGGAGAGGCAAGCGGUACUCAAUGGGUAGGGGUAAAAUCCUUUGAUCCAUUGAAGACCACCAGUGGCGAAGGCGGCUUGCCAGAACGCGCUCGACGGUGAGGGAUGAAAGCUGGGGGAGCAAACCGGAUUAGAUACCCGGGUAGUCCCAGCUGUAAACGAUGCAGACUCGGUGAUGGGAUGGCCUCGAGCCAUCCCAGUGCCGCAGGGAAGCCGUUAAGUCUGCCGCCUGGGGAGUACGGUCGCAAGACUGAAACUUAAAGGAAU